UUCAAUUCAACAGAAGACUCGUAUUCGUAGCUGGAAGAAACCUUCAAUUCUGGGCUAAUAUCAGAUGGUGAAACCUCACAAUCUCUACUGCAAGUCAAAGCCUUCAUAUUUGAGAGGUGUUCAGCUUGUUCAGUUUGGCUAGGUUCCACUUUCACAGUUCGCUGUUCUACUAUCCCAGAAGACUCAUAUUCGUAGCUGGAAGAAACCUUCAAUUCUGGGCUAAUAUCAGAUGGUGAAACCUCACAAUCUCCACUGCAAGUCAAAGCCUUCAUAUUUGAGAGGCGUUCAGCUUGUUCAGUUUGGCUAGGUUCCACUUCCACAAUUCGCUGUUCUACUAUCCCAGAAGAUUCGGUAGUUUGAAUUUGAAGGCUUGAUGGCCG
This 380-nucleotide long non-coding RNA is filed under the name Trifolium pratense (red clover). RNAcentral describes it as "long non-coding RNA (TPRA_LNC000338)". The record is from RNAcentral. Lineage: Eukaryota; Viridiplantae; Streptophyta; Magnoliopsida; Fabales; Fabaceae.